CCCUGCAGGCAGCAUCGCCGCCAUUACGGUGACGGUCAUUGCCGUGGUGUUGUUGGUGUUUGGAGUCGCAGCGUAUCUGAAGAUCAGGCAUUCCUCCUACGGAAGGCUUUUGGAUGAUCAUGACUACGGAUCCUGGGGCAACUACAACAAUCCUCUGUACGACGACUCCUAACAAAGGAACGUGGCCGGGAUGAGGAAGAACUGUUGUUUAUUUAUAAAGUGCUUUCCCAGUAGAAUUAAUACAAGUACCUGAUAUGCAUUGAGCGACAAUCUCUUAAGCCCUGUUUCAUUGGUUUGUUUGGUUUUCCUCCCUCUCCUCUGGCUGCUAUAACUUCCCCUUUCUGCAAAAAGAAUCAUUGUUUAAAGGUGAGUGGAGGCUUCUUUGCAGCUGAAAUGGGCCAGCCUGGAGCCGGACCACCGUGGUGGAAGCUUCCAUACCCGCUGCAGGAUCCACCUUAAGAGGGACUGAGGGCCAGGGAUCGAGUCGUUCCAUCGGGGGCUACUUUUAGGGGAACUUUUUGUUGGUGGUAUUUCUCAAACUUUUUAGUUAGGAAAUUACAUUCAAUCUCAAUGAGGGGAAAGGAAAUGAGUACUGGGAAGACUUCCCCUUCAGGUGAGGGCGCAGGGGAUGCUCCGAUUCCUUUUUAAUCUCUGUUUGUAUCUGCCAGGAUCCCUGCUUGGCUUUGCGAGUGGGAUCCCGGCUUCUUAACUGCCCAGUUAGUGGAAGAGAAAACCGGAAGGCACCCCGGGGAGGCCAGGAGGCCGAGGGACAGCUAGCAUGUUGCUGUCAGAUCGCAGCAUGCCCUCUACCUGUUCUCCCCUCCAGGCUGCCCAUCUCUGCUCUGCUCGGGAUGCCCCUUCUGGUCAGCUGCAGCCGGCUGGCAUCCGGCCUCGGGGGCUCUCCGCAGGAGAAGGCUGGGAGAGGAGUUUAGUUAGAGAAGAGAAAGGGGGAGGCGUGGGAGGGAGCGAGCGCUGGGGCAGUGGAGGAGGCUGGGAAGGGAGGGCACGGAGGUCCACCUGGGGGAAACGAGGAAUCAGCCCCCAAUAACUAACAGAGAUAUCCACUGCUCUGAGGAACCUCUAGAAAGAAUCCUUGCUUUAUACCCACAAAACAGCUAGCUCACUGCCUUACUGUCUGUUGGAUAAUGGCUGUAGACUGUUUUGUAAAAAACUGUGAAGGCAUUAGUCUAUCUGCGGUUGCUCAGUGAGGCAUUUCCAUAGGAAACAGACACCACGAUUAAUCCAUCUAUUCUUCCUGUUCACUUACCUUACUAAUUCUGCCCUCUAAUUAACGAACACUCCCAGGUACAUGGUCUUCAAAUCCUCGAUCUCGAAUUUUGAAAAAGAACUGAUAUUGUUUGCAGAUGGCCAUUUACUGCAGUGGGUAUCAACCGGCAGACAAUUUUGCUCCCCAACGUUAGCCAUUUAAAAAUGUCUCGUGUCAUUUUUGAGUGUCACAACCUGGGGGUGCCACUAGUAGAUAGAGGCCACGGACGCGCUGAACAUCCUACAAUGCACAAGACAGCCCACUACAACAAAGAAUUGCCUGGCCCAAAAUGUCGGUAGUGCUGAGUUUAAGAAACCCUGGUUUCAUGAAAUGCCCCUUGUGACAAAACAACACACUCCCAGCUUAGUAACAUUUUUUAUUUUUACCUAAAUGAAAUGAUUUGUUAAAUUGUUACCUAAGAAGUAUUCAGUUUGUUGGCUGAUGGGUUGUUUUGGCAUGUGUGGUUGCCUUUUUAUUUCUGUGUGUUCUCUAGAUAGCUUUAUUUCGUAGCUAGAACUCUAUCCUCCCGAAACACCUGAUGUUAGUAACCGGCAUCUUGUGUCCUGAUUGGAGUAGGAAACUUCACGGAUUAGGAAGCAUCCAUUGGGUCCUGAUUCGGAAUACAUUCUCUUGUCCUACAGUGUCCUACAGUGUCAUAAAGAACUUGAAACUGGAUCAAUUUUUAUUUCUAAACUUGGACUUGCUGCCAUGGCUGUUCUCAGAAAUCUGACCCUCAGCUCAACCUAUCACUCGCUGUGGUCCAGCAAAGUACUGACAUGAAGACCACUGUUGCCAUGCUGUUCGGAGAUGCUAGGAGCUGUGCUGCUCUCCACAGCCUGCCUUCCCACACUCUGAAAUUAUUCCUAAACUCCUUACAUAUCAAAGGAGAAUGAGCAAGCCCCAGAGGUACUUUACAACAGGACCAGGUAAUGAGAAGUAGGCUGUCAGGAAAUCUGAUUAGCUCUGAUUAUUAAAAAACAGACAAACAAAAUGGACAUUCUCAGAAAAAUGGCCAGGGAUGACCCAUGUUGCCCCCUCCGGCUGUGCCGGGCCUGAUUGUCUCUCUUCCCUAUCCUCCCCGCUUUAUACAGCCUGUAGGCCUUCAGUUUAGCAAAGGACAAUUCAAUAAAAACAGGACAUCCCUUUAUUUUCUCCCUUGGCCACAAACAUUUUGACAAAAUGUCCAUGAAACAGCUAGCUUUAGAGCGUUGCUCUCCUGGAUACUGCUCCUAUUAUGACCACAGACUCAGUAAGCAUCUUCCCUUACCAGAGUCUUCUGUUGUGCAAGAGCACCUGAUGGGUUUGUUGCUCCUGUUAACUUCCAAAUCCUUAUGGCAAAGAGAGGGAUCUGGGCCUAAAGCAAAUAUAUUCAGCAAGGUGACAGCUUCCCAUAAAAAAACUCUAACCCUCCUUGUCAUGGCAGUAUAAAAUACCUCCAGGGUGAACCUUAUUUUGCCAAGUACUUUUUUUCUGAGUUGGCCAAAGAAUUUGAACUGUAUUCAACACAUGUUGCUUGAAACACACACACACACACACCUGAAAUACAUGCUGAUAUUUGAUGUCAGGGAGAUAUUCUGUCCAGGUCUGCGCAAGGGAAAUUGCUCCAGUGGAUCUAAAAAACAACCACUUUCAUCCAGGAAUAGGACUAGUCAUAAAGUGAUAGACUGUCAGAGCAGGAAGGAGGCAAGCAGCCUCUUCUAGACCAUAGAUUGCAAAUGAUGAAGAGUGGGAUUCAACUUUGUUUUCUUUUCUCUUGGCCCCAGUGAAGUCUCCUGCCCUCCCUGGAUGCCUGUCUUCAUUUCUUAAAUGAGGGUGAUGCUUUCAUAUUGACCUCACCCCAUGCUACCUCACAAAUGUGUUGUGAGGAUUCAUGAAAUGAUGUCUACAGUGUUUUCAGUUUCUGGAGAGAAAUAUUUAUAGACAUCUUAAGUAUUACAUAGGUAUAUAAGUGAUCUCAGUUUCAGUUUCUUGUUUGUAGUUAUACUGGUGUGUUGUUCUGACUUAAAUCUAUAAAACAACAGCCGUAUCUUGGCCACAUCAGGCAGCUGUCCCAGCUCUGAGCUACCCCCCAGUGCAUCUGACUGCAGGGUGAACCAUGCCUGGGACCAGGAGAAUGGUUUCCAUCUCCAAAUGAAAAGAUGUCCCAGGACCUAGGUCUCACAGACUAUCGAGUUAGGAUCCAGAAGGUUAGGGUAAUAUAGGAAGGAUACCUGAGCACUGAUAGCAGUAGGCCUCUGGCCUUCACCAUCCUGAAGUCUUCUGAGUUCUUUGUGGAGUUGAUUUUGGUUUGAUGUCAUCCGUUUGCCCUUCAUCUUGCUUGCAAGGGUGCACGGUUCAAUCCCUCACGUAUGGGAAAUGAAUUUUGCAACUGCGCCGUGUUGAUUUGCACGUUGGAUUCACCCUCUUUGCCUUUAACCUCUUUUUGGCAAACGAAUGUACCAUUUCAACUUUGAUUUUAAAAGUGCUAGUUGGUACUGCUAAGAGUGGUAACCGAGAGACCAACGCCACAUUGCUUUCUCGGGGUGAGUUAGCCAACAUCAUCUAACGAUGGAAAGAUGUGCAACUUCUUUGAUAUUUGAUGUCAUUGUAUCUACAUUUGUUGUAAGACAUAUUGCAUACUAAUUAUAUCGAUUAAAGUUGUUAAAAGCUUGCACCUGACAGUGGUGACUCACAUUUUGAUAUGUUUUGUUAUUCAGGACAUUCAGUUGAUAUGCUCCUAUUAAGUACCUUUGACUUGUUCUUAAAGAAAAUCUAUCCCCCAUCAAUAAAUAAUAUUUUCUGCACA
This is a non-coding RNA of Leptonychotes weddellii (Weddell seal), 4052 nucleotides long. The record is from RefSeq and is a predicted model, not a curated record. NCBI's taxonomy places the organism in Eukaryota, Metazoa, Chordata, Mammalia, Carnivora, Phocidae.